Molecule: ribosomal RNA, 253 nt
Filed under: uncultured bacterium
Lineage: Bacteria
Description: partial 16S ribosomal RNA
Rfam family: Bacterial small subunit ribosomal RNA
Source: RNAcentral
UACGUAGGGCGCAAGCGUUGUCCGGAAUUAUUGGGCGUAAAGAGCUCGUAGGCGGCUUGUCACGUCGAUUGUGAAAGCCCGAGGCUUAACCUCGGGUCUGCAGUCGAUACGGGCUAGCUAGAGUGUGGUAGGGGAGAUCGGAAUUCCUGGUGUAGCGGUGAAAUGCGCAGAUAUCAGGAGGAACACCGGUGGCGAAGGCGGAUCUCUGGGCCAUUACUGACGCUGAGGAGCGAAAGCGUGGGGUGCGAACAGG